Non-coding RNA from Ameiurus melas (black bullhead), 73 nucleotides. NCBI's taxonomy places the organism in Eukaryota, Metazoa, Chordata, Actinopteri, Siluriformes, Ictaluridae. The record is from the annotation of a GenBank genome assembly.
GGCAGUGGUAGCUCAGCGGUUAAACAUUGGACUAGCGCUUGGACGACCAUGAGUUCAAAUCCCAGCACUGCCA